AUCCGUCUUGCUGAGGGCAAAAGAGUAGGAUACAGUUGCCCCUCUCCCCCUGUCCUACGCGGGGCAGAAACAGGCAAGGAACGUGCAUAGGCCAAGAAUGGCACCCAAAGCCCGUAGUGUUGCUCCAAAGGCGCAAGCUGGUGCUUCGCCGCCGGAGGCCCGCGAGCCGCUCAUCAUUGCGGCUGCUUUCCUUGACAGCGUGGUAGCUGUGGCGGGUGUGCCUGUGAUGAUGGCGCAGGCCGCGUAUGUCUCGUUCCCCUCUGGCGCCCACCUUGUCGCGUACCAGCUGUGCUUUCUGGUUCCGCAGCUCAUAACAACACUUGUGGCGGAGCAGCUCACGAUGCACGUGAGUGCCUCGGCGCUCUUACUUUUCACAUUGAUGUGCUCCACAGGCAGCGCGGCUAUCGUAGCGCUGAGUCUGUCGCAGCGCGCACUGUCGCUCUUCUUCGCCUCUCAUAUUCUGAACGGUGUCUUUCGACACACCAAGACACUGUUUGGUGUCACCGCGAAAACGCUGCACAUGCCGACCACCGACGUCAGUGCAGCUGCCCGGUACGGUAUGAUGGCAGGCAUGCUGCUCGGCGGAAUCGCAGGCGACAUCAUGCGCGAUGCGGUACAGGUGGCGCAACUGUUCAUCGGGGUAGAGGCGGCCGCUGCGACGCUAGUACUCGCACACCACCUGCUGCGCAGUCGCACCGUGGUGGUGACCGCCCGAGUCAGUCAGGAGUACGCCCAGUGGCUCCCCAGUCUGGCGCGGGCACCGGCAGUUGUGUAUCGCUCCGUGUCAGCUCUCAUUGCCGUCAUGCUGGCUGCCUCGGUGAAUCAGGUGGUGUACCCUAUUGCGGCGCCCGCAUAUGGUCUCCCGUACUCCUUCGCGGGUGCCCACUUGUGUUUCGGUAUGGUACUGCAAAUGGUUUUGAUGCCAUCCGUCGUGGAUGUUGCCAAGCGCAUGGCGCGGCAGUGGAAGUCGAACGUGCUGCUGACCGGCAGCGCGGAGGAUAAGCUGUCGGUUAUCGCCGGGCUCUUACUCCUUGCGGGCUGCACUGUCGUUCCGUGCGCUUCUGAUUUCGGACCUUUUGUCUUUUAUCCCGCAUCGCUGCUGUUGGUGGACCUACCUGCCGGCGUCCUGAGCACGCUCGCCGCGAGUGCGGUGCAGGAGACGUUUGGACACGGCUCCGGCGACGCGCCGAAGGUCGCAAGGCUGCUCGCCCACAUCACACAACUAGUGAAGAUGUUUGCGGCGCCGCUGCGCAUCUGUACGACAGAGAGCCUCAGGGGGUACAAAUACCCUGUGCGCUACAUCAGUAUCCCGCUGAUGACGUACGCACUGACGUACGCCCGCACACACAACGUCACGUACGCGGUGACCGGACUGGCGACAACGUUGCUCCUUCUCACGUCCACUGUCUCUUCCUUUGAGGGCGAGCUGUAGACUCGAUUGACUCGCUGAGAAGUGACAACCAAAAGUAGUCGUUGAUUGGCAGACAGCGGCUGCGUGGGUGAGCGCCGAGGCGGCUCAGCGUCCGUGAGGAUCGGUCGAUAUCAAAAGCUGAUUUGGUGCGUGCUCGUGUGCGCGGUGUCUUGCCGGGAGCGCCGACAGCCCGAUAGAGCCAGUAGGGGACGAGCUUCAGUGAGUAACGCUUCCGUUCUUUCCCUUGUUGUUGUUUCUUUGUGAGGGGGGGGAGGGAGAGGGCUGUGCCGCUGGACCUGCUCCGGUUUGCGUCGCUUCCACCGAAUGCGCUCGUGUAAGAAGUGGAGGGAGGCGAUAUGGAGGAAGCGCGUACACACACGCAAUGGCGUCGCCUUCCCUUUUCCUUUUCUUCCGCUCUCCUCUGUCCCCCGAAUUGCCGCCACCCUAGUUCAUUAUUAAUGUAUCGAUCUGUGUAGAGACACAGCGUUCAAUCGUCUUCACAGGCAGGACUGGGCUUGUGCAUCCCCCGUCUCGUGCGUUCUACAACCGGGUAUUCUUUUCUCUCGCCUACUUGGCUUCCUCGUGAUCCCUCUGUAUUCCGGUCG
This 2016-nucleotide unclassified non-coding RNA is filed under the name Leishmania donovani. RNAcentral's name for it is "gene:LdHU3.11.1620(CDS-product:hypothetical_prote in_conserved)". Lineage: Eukaryota; Euglenozoa; Kinetoplastea; Trypanosomatida; Trypanosomatidae. The record is from RNAcentral.